CGUGUAGGCGGUUGGUCAAGUCGGGUGUGAAAGCCUGGGGCUCAGCCCCAGAAGUGCAUCCGAAACUAGCCAGCUAGAGCGCGAUAGAGGAGGGUGGAAUUCCUGGUGUAGCGGUGAAAUGCGUAGAUAUCAGGAGGAACACCGGCGGCGAAGGCGGCCCUCUGGAUCGUUGCUGACGCUGAGACGCGAAAGCGUGGGGAGCAAACAGGAUUAGAUACCCUGGUAGUCCACGCCUUAAGCGAUGGGUACUAGGUGUUCGGGGUGUUGACCCCCUGAGUGCCGCAGUUAACGCAUUAAGUACCCCGCCUGGGGACUACGGCCGCAAGGUUAAA
This 332-nucleotide ribosomal RNA is filed under the name uncultured bacterium. RNAcentral's name for it is "bacterial SSU rRNA". It matches the Rfam family "Bacterial small subunit ribosomal RNA", at positions 568 to 898 of the family's 1533-position model. The record is from RNAcentral.